This 299-nucleotide signal recognition particle RNA is filed under the name Colobus angolensis palliatus. RNAcentral's name for it is "Metazoan signal recognition particle RNA (ENSCANG00000009541.1)". It matches the Rfam family "Metazoan signal recognition particle RNA". From Rfam's summary of the family: The signal recognition particle (SRP) is a universally conserved ribonucleoprotein. It is involved in the co-translational targeting of proteins to membranes. The eukaryotic SRP consists of a 300-nucleotide 7S RNA and six proteins: SRPs 72, 68, 54, 19, 14, and 9. Lineage: Eukaryota; Metazoa; Chordata; Mammalia; Primates; Cercopithecidae. The record is from RNAcentral.
GGUAGGUGUGGUGACACUUACCUGUAAUCUCAGCUACUCAGGAGGCUGAGGCAGAAGGAUGGCUUGAGCGGAGGAGUUCUGGGUUGUAGUGCCCCUAUGACGAUAGGGAGUCUGCACUAGGUUCAGCAUCAAUAUGAUGACCUCCUGAGAACAAGGGACUACCAGGUUGCCCAAGGAGGGGUGAUGUAGCCCAGGAACGGAGAAGGUCAAAACUCCUGUGUUUAUCAGUAGUGGGAUGGUGUGUGUGUGUGAAUAGCCGCUGCACUCCAGCCUGGGCAACAUAGUUAGACCCCAUCUCU